This 138-nucleotide ribosomal RNA is filed under the name uncultured bacterium. RNAcentral describes it as "partial 16S ribosomal RNA". It matches the Rfam family "Bacterial small subunit ribosomal RNA", at positions 355 to 509 of the family's 1533-position model. The record is from RNAcentral.
UGGGGAAUAAUUGCACAAUGGGGGAAACCCUGAUGCAGCGACGCCGCGUGAGCGAAGAAGUAUUUCGGUAUGUAAAGCUCUAUCAGCAGGGAAGAUAAUGACGGUACCUGACUAAGAAGCCCCGGCUAACUACGUGCC